CCGCGUGUUGUGAAGAAAGGUCUUAGGAUUGUAAAGCACUUUCGGCGGGGACGAUGAUGACGGUUACCCGCAGAAGAAGACCCGGCUAACUUCGUGC
RNAcentral lists this ribosomal RNA (97 nucleotides) under uncultured bacterium. RNAcentral describes it as "partial 16S ribosomal RNA". The record is from RNAcentral.